UGGGGAAUUUUGGACAAUGGGCGAAAGCCUGAUCCAGCAAUGCCGCGUGUGUGAAGAAGGCCUUCGGGUUGUAAAGCACUUUUGUCCGGAAAGAAAUCCUUGGCUCUAAUACAGUCGGGGGAUGACGGUACCGGAAGAAUAAGCACCGGCUAACUACGUGCCAGCAGCCGCGGUAAUACGUAGGGUGCAAGCGUUAAUCGGAAUUACUGGGCGUAAAGCGUGCGCAGGCGGUUUGCUAAGACCGAUGUGAAAUCCCCGGGCUCAACCUGGGAACUGCAUUGGUGACUGGCAGGCUAGAGUAUGGCAGAGGGGGGUAGAAUUCCACGUGUAGCAGUGAAAUGCGUAGAGAUGUGGAGGAAUACCGAUGGCGAAGGCAGCCCCUGGGCCAAUACUGACGCUCAUGCACGAAAGCGUGGGGAGCAAAACAGGAUUAGAUACCCUGGUAGUCCACGCCCUAAAACGAUGUCAACUAGUUGUUGGGGAUUCAUUUCCUUAGUAACGUAGCUAACGCGUGAAGUUGACCGCCUGGGGAGUACGGUCGCAAGAUUAAAACUUAAAUGAAUUGACGGGGUCAUAGCUGUUUCCU
Molecule: ribosomal RNA, 586 nt
Filed under: uncultured bacterium
Lineage: Bacteria
Description: partial 16S ribosomal RNA
Rfam family: Bacterial small subunit ribosomal RNA
Source: RNAcentral